UUUCUUUGUUGUGGACACUGUUGAGUGUGUUUUACUGGUAAGAGGUUAGAGCAUGGCUAAAGGGUUAGAAACCUGAGCAUGAUACAAACCUUGGAGCUUAGAAAAAAGAAAUGGACUGACAGAACUCUAAAUAUUCCUGCUAAACCCAAGUCUGACAAUACUCAAGUUUAAAAAGGAAAGAGGACACUGGAGAUGGUGGAAGAACCAGAAAGCUACACUGCUUUUUCAUGGUGUAAACUACUGCUGAAAAUCAAAAAGAAGAAGAAAAAAGCCCUUGAUUUGUUGUUCUGAAUAAAGUGACAUUAAGAGAACAUAUGCUUCCUUUUCACAUAUUACUUAAGAGAUUCUGACACUGUGUCCAAAGCAACUCCAUCUUCAAGGGGGAAAAAAGAAAAUCAUGCCAAAUCUGAUAGUCUUCUGAUGUGUUCCAUUAGUUGUGGAUUUCUACAAGGAUUUUUCAAACAAAAAAUUAAUUAUUAUAAACAGCAAUGGCUUUACUCAAGAUGCCACAAAUAAGGUAACAGAAGCAUGUCAAAGUGGUACAGUUUGAGCUGAAAUCUAACUAUUCUACAGCAGCGGAAAGGGUUGAAGAUAACCUUGUUCAUCAGAGGUAUAUUAGAAAUUAUUUGUAACAGCAGCUCCACUAUUUGACCCAUGCUUUUCAGAGAAGUUUAGAAAAGUAUUUUCACACAGUAUGUGCCCAAUUUUUUUUUUAAUUAACCUCUGCACUUUAUUUAAGUUCUGUAAAAGUUUGUAACUAGAGACUGCAGACCAGCUGCCCAUCCAAAGUAAGCAGCAAAGUUAGAUGGAGGAGAAGAAAUGAAAACCAGAUUAAGCUGCUAGAAUAUUUUUUUUCAUUUGAAUUAAUUUGAGGGCCUAUAUGGUUUGAUUCAAUACAAAAACAGUGCACAGUGUGUGGAGAGAACACAAAGAAUACACACAGUAAUUAUUUACCUGAGAAAUUUGUAUAAAGAGUUGUGGAAAAAAGGAGAAGGA
Molecule: long non-coding RNA, 996 nt
Organism: Zonotrichia leucophrys gambelii
Lineage: Eukaryota; Metazoa; Chordata; Aves; Passeriformes; Passerellidae
Exons: 3
Source: RefSeq, a predicted model, not a curated record